Molecule: small RNA, 106 nt
Filed under: Marmota monax (woodchuck)
Lineage: Eukaryota; Metazoa; Chordata; Mammalia; Rodentia; Sciuridae
Source: RNAcentral
GCCGGGCGUGGUGGCAUGUGCCUGUAGUCUGGAGGCUGAGGCAGAAGGAUUGCUUGAGCCCAAGAGUACCAGGCCAGUCUGGAAAACACAGCAAGUUCUGUCUUUA